GAUGAACGCUGGCGGCGUGCUUAACACAUGCAAGUCGAACGAUGAAGCCCAGCUUGCUGGGUGGAUUAGUGGCGAACGGGUGAGUAACACGUGAGUAACCUGUCCUUGACUCUGGGAUAAGCCUGGGAAACUGGGUCUAAUACUGGAUAUGACUUCUCAUCGCAUGGUGGGGGGUGGAAAGAUUUAUUGGUCUUGGAUGGACUCGCGGCCUAUCAGCUUGUUGGUGAGGUAAUGGCUCACCAAGGCGACGACGGGUAGCCGGCCUGAGAGGGUGACCGGCCACACUGGGACUGAGACACGGCCCAGACUCCUACGGGAGGCAGCAGUGGGGAAUAUUGCACAAUGGGCGCAAGCCUGAUGCAGCGACGCCGCGUGAGGGAUGACGGCCUUCGGGUUGUAAACCUCUUUCAGUAGGGAAGAAGCGAAAGUGACGGUACCUGCAGAAGAAGCGCCGGCUAACUACGUG
Molecule: ribosomal RNA, 466 nt
Filed under: uncultured bacterium
Lineage: Bacteria
Description: partial 16S ribosomal RNA
Rfam family: Bacterial small subunit ribosomal RNA
Source: RNAcentral